AGCGUAGGCGGGAAAUUAAGUUAAGUGUGAAAGCCUUGGGCUUAAACCCCAAGAAAUGCACUUAAUACUGGUUUUCUAGAGUGUAGGAGAGGUAAGUGGAAUUCCUAGUGUAGCGGUAAAAUGCGUAGAGAUUAGGAGGAACAUCAGAGGCGAAGGCGGCUUACUGGACUAUAGCUGACGCUGAGGCUCGAAAGCGUGGGGAGCAAACAA
RNAcentral lists this ribosomal RNA (210 nucleotides) under uncultured bacterium. Its description in RNAcentral is "partial 16S ribosomal RNA". It matches the Rfam family "Bacterial small subunit ribosomal RNA", at positions 568 to 775 of the family's 1533-position model. The record is from RNAcentral.